GCUUGUCUCAAAGAUUAAGCCAUGCAUGUCUAAGUAUAGUACCUUAUACUGCGAAACUGCGAAUGGCUCAUUAAAUCAGUUAUAAUUCAUUUGAUGGUACUUACUACUCGGAUAACCGUGGUAAUUCUAGAGCUAAUACAUGCUAUAUGCCCGGCUUCUGGCAGGGCUGUAUUUAUUAGAUACUAAACCAGUGUCGCAAGACAUUGUGGUGAAUCACAGUAACUGAUCGAAUCGGCGCGCAAGCGGCGAUAAAUCAUUCAAGUUUCUGCCCUAUCAGCUUUCGAUGGUAGUGUAUUGGACUACCAUGGCAGUCACGGGUAACGGAGAAUUAGGGUUCGGUUCCGGAGAGGGAGCCUGAGAAACGGCUACCACAUCUAAGGAAGGCAGCAGG
This 391-nucleotide ribosomal RNA is filed under the name uncultured ciliate. Its description in RNAcentral is "partial small subunit ribosomal RNA". It matches the Rfam family "Eukaryotic small subunit ribosomal RNA", at positions 30 to 432 of the family's 1831-position model. The record is from RNAcentral. Lineage: Eukaryota; Ciliophora.